AGGAAGUAUUUCGAUUUAACCAUAAUAAUUUGAACAUUUCAAAUACUGAUUAAUCCAAUGAUAUACUGAACAGAAUAGAUGAAUAAAUAUUUCAUUAUGUUAAAGACCAUACAUCUAUGAGUCAUGCAACAUCCAAUGUAAUGCAGAGAACACAUGACAUGUUCGAUUAUAGAGUUCUAGGAUUUUUGAUACUUGGUUUCCGAGGUACAGCUAAUAACAUUAAUGGUACAAAUUUUUCAACACCAGUUGCGCAUAUCGAUAAUCACUGUCUCUUCAAUGAUAUUCGAGGUUAAAAUAUUUGAAAAUGCAGAACUUAUCAACAACAAAAUAAGAUCUUAUAAAUCAAAAACGAAAAAGGAAUUAUAGACAAAGCCGGACAAAGAAUCGGAGCUUUGCAUGAGGGAGAUAUAUUCCUUAAGGAUGUUCGCUCCUCUUGCUUUUGAAUUUUUGCCAG
Molecule: long non-coding RNA, 454 nt
Organism: Mytilus californianus (California mussel)
Lineage: Eukaryota; Metazoa; Mollusca; Bivalvia; Mytilida; Mytilidae
Exons: 3
Source: RefSeq, a predicted model, not a curated record